This 373-nucleotide ribosomal RNA is filed under the name uncultured bacterium. RNAcentral describes it as "bacterial SSU rRNA". It matches the Rfam family "Bacterial small subunit ribosomal RNA", at positions 524 to 898 of the family's 1533-position model. The record is from RNAcentral.
UACGUAGGGGGCAAGCGUUAUCCGGAAUUACUGGGUGUAAAGGGAGCGUAGGCGGCAUGGUAAGUUAGAUGUGAAAGCCCGGGGCUUAACCCCGAGGAUUGCAUUUAAAACUAUCAAGCUAGAGUACAGGAGAGGAAAGCGGAAUUCCUAGUGUAGCGGUGAAAUGCGUAGAUAUUAGGAAGAACACCAGUGGCGAAGGCGGCUUUCUGGACUGAAACUGACGCUGAGGCUCGAAAGCGUGGGGAGCGAACAGGAUUAGAUACCCUGGUAGUCCACGCCGUAAACGAUGAGUGCUAGGUGUCGGAGGGGAACCUUCGGUGCCGCAGCAAACGCAAUAAGCACUCCACCUGGGGAGUACGAUCGCAAGAUUGAA